UCCCUCGUAGCUCAGUCAGUCGAGUCUGCCUGCAAUGCAGAGGACCUGGGUUCAAUUCCUAGGGUGGGAA
This 70-nucleotide transfer RNA is filed under the name Bos taurus (domestic cattle). It matches the Rfam family "tRNA". From Rfam's summary of the family: Transfer RNA (tRNA) molecules are approximately 80 nucleotides in length. Their secondary structure includes four short double-helical elements and three loops (D, anti-codon, and T loops). RNAcentral also lists the same sequence under 3 other names. The record is from Rfam by way of RNAcentral. Lineage: Eukaryota; Metazoa; Chordata; Mammalia; Artiodactyla; Bovidae.